CUCUUCGUGGUGUAGUGGUCAGCACGCUCGACGCGUAACCGAGAGGUCCGUGGUUCGAUUCCCGACGAAGGUA
Stegodyphus mimosarum is the source of this 73-nucleotide non-coding RNA. NCBI's taxonomy places the organism in Eukaryota, Metazoa, Arthropoda, Arachnida, Araneae, Eresidae. The record is from Rfam.